Molecule: ribosomal RNA, 253 nt
Filed under: uncultured bacterium
Lineage: Bacteria
Description: partial 16S ribosomal RNA
Rfam family: Bacterial small subunit ribosomal RNA
Source: RNAcentral
UACGUAAGGGGCAAGCGUUGUCCGGAUUUAUUGGGCGUAAAGCGCGUGUAGGCGGCCAGAUAAGUCCGCUGUGAAAUCUCGAGGCUCAACUUCGAGCUGUCGGUGGAAACUGUCUGGCUAGAGUCCGGAAGAGGAGAAUGGAAUUCCUGGUGUAGCGGUGAAAUGCGCAGAUAUCAGGAAGAACACCCGUGGCGAAGGCGGUUCUCUGGGACGGUACUGACGCUGAGACGCGAAAGCGUGGGGAGCGAACAGG